Molecule: long non-coding RNA, 784 nt
Organism: Bubalus bubalis (water buffalo)
Lineage: Eukaryota; Metazoa; Chordata; Mammalia; Artiodactyla; Bovidae
Exons: 2
Source: RefSeq, a predicted model, not a curated record
AAAUCCCAUGGAUGGAGGAGCCUGGUGGACUAUAGUCUGUAGGGUCGCAAAGAGUCAGACACGACUGAGCGAAUUCAGCCAGCCUAAUGUCUUACACCUGCCCAAAUAAGCGCCUUACUCUUUUUGAAACAUGCUUCCCAUUUUCCCUCUCCUCGCACCUGUCUUUUCCAACUCAUAAUUGGUUUCUCCAGGAGCCUUCCUCCACUUCCAGGUCUGGAUUAGCAGCCUCCCCUGAGAGCUGCCCUAUCACAGUGCUCGUCAUGCUGUGCCCCGUUCCUGUUUCUCAUCCUUGUGAAACUGAGGGCUCUUGAGGGAGGGGCUGUCUCAUUCACCAUGACAGUCCCAAAAUCCAGCACAGUGCCUGGCACUCAAGAAAAGGAGGACCAGCCCUUGACCCCUAGGCACUGGCCUGUUGCUAUCAGCUGCACCCUGGGGCUCUACCGUUGAGCACAGUUUCAUAAAACAUCAGCAAGAGACAAGGCUGUUCUUUGACUGUGCUGGGUCAGGACAAAAACAAGGCCACUGGAUAACCAUAUCUGCACAGAGACAUAACAUGAACAGUGUUCAAACCACAAAAAUGGCCUAACAUCCUCUUACCCUGGCUGAUAUAAGUGAAUGCUGCUGCUUUACCCAUUGCAGUGUAGCCUCCAACUGGUCUUCUUUCCUUUGAGUUAAGAUUUCUUAAUCCUAUCCAAUCAUAGAAGUACCUGUUUCCUGACAACAUUCACUCUCAAGAAAACCCCACUUCCUCAAACUCUCCUGAAAUCAACCCAAACUCCAGUCC